This 264-nucleotide non-coding RNA is filed under the name Pseudoramibacter alactolyticus. RNAcentral's name for it is "T-box sequence". It matches the Rfam family "T-box leader". From Rfam's summary of the family: Uncharged tRNA acts as the effector for transcription antitermination of genes in the T-box leader family. Lineage: Bacteria; Bacillati; Bacillota; Clostridia; Eubacteriales; Eubacteriaceae. The record is from RNAcentral.
AACAAUGCGAUGAACGAGAGAAAAACAUCACAAGUUUUUUAAAGAGAGUUGCCGGUAGGUGCGAUGGCAAUAAAAAGCGGAUGCGCAAUAAUCACUCGUGAGCAGCCGACCCCAAAUGGAACAAAAGUAGGGGAGGCCGAAAACUUCCAUUCCGGCGUUAACGGAUUAGGGUUAAGAGCAUAGCUCCGACCUGAAGCGGAUAUGUGGUUGCUCAUAUCAAGAAGAGUGGUACCGCGGAAUAAAUGUGUUUACUCCGUCUCUUUA